GAUGAAGAACGCAGCGAAAUGCGAUAAGUAAUGUGAAUUGCAGAAUUCAGUGAAUCAUCGAAUCUUUGAACGCACCUUGCGCCCUUUGGCCAUUCCGAAGGGCAUGCCUGUUUGAGUAUCAUGAACACCUCAACUCUCAUAAUGAGCUUGGAUUUGGGGGUCUUGCUGGCCUGUGGUCGGCUCCUCUCAAAUGGAUCAGCUUGCCAGUGUUUGGUGGCAUCACAGGUGUGAUAACUAUCUGCGCUUGUGGUUUUCCAUCAGAUAACCUUCAGUGAUGGAGGUUCGCUGGAGCUCAUAAACGUCUCCCCUAAGCGGGGACAGCCCUUUGAAUGUUUGAUCUCAAAUCAGGUAGGACUACCCGCUGAACUUAAGCAUAUCAAUAAGCGGAGGA
Molecule: unclassified non-coding RNA, 391 nt
Filed under: soil metagenome
Description: partial contains 5.8S ribosomal RNA, internal transcribed spacer 2, and large subunit ribosomal RNA
Rfam family: 5.8S ribosomal RNA (bases 1-121)
Source: RNAcentral